Molecule: non-coding RNA, 2007 nt
Organism: Callorhinus ursinus (northern fur seal)
Lineage: Eukaryota; Metazoa; Chordata; Mammalia; Carnivora; Otariidae
Source: RefSeq, a predicted model, not a curated record
GCGGCGUCCCGUGGAGCGCGCGCCCCCUCGCUGGCCGCGCCCGGGACCCGGCCAAGUCACCCGCACAUCUUCACUUUCUGGGUCCCCGCUUGCCCAGACGCCCCUCCCGCUGGCAGCGGAUUUGAGCCCCGCGCCCCGGCGGGGGCCGCCUCUGCAACCACAGCAGAAGUCUUUCGUUCUCUGGGAGUAACGUGAUGCUAUAAAUGCUGGAUUGAGAAACGAAGGGGAAAAAAAAAAAACAAAAACGUUUGGGUCAAUUAAGGAGCGUCAGGCCGCAGCGAUGGGGGAGGGCGCUUCCCAUCGCGGGCGGAGUCAGCGGGGUCCCGAACGCACGCUGGUCGGCGGGAGGUGCAGGUGAGCGGGAGCUGAGGAGUCAGAUCCCUGCGGAGACCCGACGCUUGGCGCGUGUCAAGUAAGGUUUGGCAAGCCUUGACCACGGUUACUUCUGAGUCACUCUGGUCUCCGUGUCUCAACAGCCAUCAGGACAUGGUUCUGGAGGUCAACAGUCUGAAAUGAGACUCACAGGCUAAGACCAAGGUGUCCGCAGGGCUGGUUCCUCUGGAAGGUUCCAAGGGAGAAUCCAUUCUGUGCGUCUCCUGGCUCCUGGAGGUGGCCCGCCUGCCUUGGCCUGUGGCCCCUUCUCGACAUCACUGCAACCUCUGCCUUCUGUCACAUCUUCUACCGCUGACUCCGAUCUCCUGCUUCCAUCUUAUAAGGACACGUGACUACACUGGAUGCACGUGGAGGAUCUCACAAUCCUCAGUGUAAUCACCUCUGCAAUGUUUGUUAUGCCAUACAAGGACCAAGCUUUCGGGAGCCAACUAUGCAUCCCAUCCAACUCCACAUUCAGUGAUGUUACCUUGGAGCUCGAAAUUAGCCCUGGUGGAAAUAUGGACACCAUGAAAAUCAGCCAACACUACACAGCAGGAUUGCCCCCUACCCCCACUCCGGAGAGCCCGCUGAUAAACAUUCGCCAGAACAUCUCUGCCAAAGCCCCAGGUACCUGGGAAUUAUAGCUCAUGUCUUCUUGAGCACAGACACUCAGUUUCACCAGGAAAACAUCAGAGUCCCUUUGCUCGCUGCUGGGCGGAACACCCUAAAUUGGGGGCUGAUAAAAUUGGGAUGGAACGAAAGCCGAGAUCUGUGCUGAGUGGGGAGGAGCGUAAUGAGACAAGGUUAGAGGCAGGCGGGGCAGAGGACAUGGAGCUAUAGUAGAGCUUGAUAUUUUGGUUGGACAAAAUUAUAGGAGAGCUUUUCGUAGGAGACGGAUGUAGUUGGAUUUAGAUUUUAUAAAGAUCCCUCCAUGUAUCUGGCUUGUCAACAGCAUAUACGGGUUGGGGGUGCAGGGGAGGCCGCCAGAGGUGGUGAAGCACCGAGGCCAAUGGCGCUAGGACAGGGGAGCCACAGCAUGGCUUCUGACCUCUGCCCUGACACCUGCUCCACACCUCUGCUGGUGCCACUUCUGGGACCCUCCCCGAAGAAUUUGUUCCCCUCUGCCAUAUUGCAAGACCAGCUCAAGACCCCCCCACCCCUCCUUCCCCUGGAGUCCUCCCAGCCAUCCCAGUCCCAUCUCUGCCUGCUUUGGGCAGGCAUAAGGCUGGAUUUCCUGGGGCGGGGGGCGCGGCGUGUGAAGGGAAGACAGUGUUUCAGGCCUGGAGAGGCUUUUGUCAGUAUGCUUAUCGAUCACGUAGAAGUGAGAGGUGAUGCUGAGCUAGUCUGUGUUGAUGAGGAAAUGCAGGGAGGGAAGGAAAUCCCAGAGUUCAUUCAAAAUAGCAGACAAGAAAUGUUUAAAGCAACAAUCUUGAAACUGGGGACUAUAGUCCUGUAUAACAUGGGGAAGCAAAAUCCUAAUUACAAUGGACAAUUGUGAUACUGUUCUGUGGCUUUGCAAAAUGUUACCAUAGGGGAAACCAGGUGAAGGGUAUAUGGGUCUCCCUGUACAUGCUGUUGCAACUUCUUCUGAAUCGAUAUUUCUAAAUAAAACAUUGAACAACCCAGCCGUGGGCA